RNAcentral lists this ribosomal RNA (459 nucleotides) under uncultured bacterium. RNAcentral's name for it is "partial 16S ribosomal RNA". It matches the Rfam family "Bacterial small subunit ribosomal RNA", at positions 338 to 795 of the family's 1533-position model. The record is from RNAcentral.
CCUACGGGUGGCAGCAGUGAGGAAUAUUGGUCAAUGGUCGGGAGACUGAACCAGCCAAGCCGCGUGAGGCAAGAAGGUACAGAGUAUCGUAAACCUCUUUUGUCAGGGAACAAAGACUGGGACGCGUCCCCGGAUGAGUGUACCUGAAGAAAAAGCAUCGGCUAACUCCGUGCCAGCAGCCGCGGUAAUACGGAGGAUGCGAGCGUUAUCCGGAUUUAUUGGGUUUAAAGGGUGCGCAGGCGGCCUGUUAAGUCAGCGGUCAAAGCCCGGGGCUCAACCCCGGCCCGCCGUUGAAACUGGCGGGCUGGAGUUGGAGAGAAGUAUGCGGAAUGCGCGGUGUAGCGGUGAAAUGCGUAGAUAUCGCGAAGAACUCCGAUUGCGAAGGCAGCGUACCGGCUCCACACUGACGCUGAGGCACGAAAGCGUGGGGAUCGAACAGGAUUAGAUACCCCAGUAGUC